AAUAUAUGCAAAUUGCAUAACCUAAUAAGAUUCGUGAAGUUAGGAAUCAAUAAGUUUUAGAGGAAUCAGUUUCUUGAUGUUCAUGGUUCCUAAAUGAUGUAGCUUGUAUUAAUUACAAAAAAAUUUCCUGUUUGCAUUUUGCUACAAUGCAAAGGAGGAAGAGUUCAGUGAUUUCAGAUCAUAGUCAAACUGUUCGUCACUGCACAUUUUGUGAUCUUUUAUUAUUAUUAUUUUUGUUCUGCCAAAACUUGGUCCGACACCAAUGAAGAAAGUACUCUUUGAUUGAUUUUGAAGGCUGGAAGUAAUGCAACUUACUAGUUUUACCUACCUUCUUAUGGUAUGAUUCUGUUCUGUUUUGAGUAGGGUCCUUUUCGACUUGUGGCUGAGGAGGGAAAGUCUAAUUGUUCAUGGGUCAGCCUUGAUGAUAUAACUACCUGCUUGAAACGAGCAUGCAAAUGUCUAGGUUAAUCAGUCCCAUUGAUGCGGACAUCCAGCCGUCCAUGGCUAUCCGAGGAGCUGAAGAUCAACGACUACCAUCGUCCCACGUUAUCUUAUAUUUUAUUUGUAAUUUUUAAAUUUUUAUUAUAAAUUUUCCGUUUUUACCCUCACUAAGAGGGUCGUCCUAUGUAAGCCUUAGGGGCAUAUGUGUAUUGUUUUAGUUUCUUAGGCCUAUAUUUAGAGGCAUUUUCUUGUGUAAUGGGAUGAUGAAUUGAUAAUGAAAUUUUAUUCUACUUGUUUGAUC
Molecule: long non-coding RNA, 742 nt
Organism: Dendrobium catenatum
Lineage: Eukaryota; Viridiplantae; Streptophyta; Magnoliopsida; Asparagales; Orchidaceae
Exons: 2
Source: RefSeq, a predicted model, not a curated record